CCUACGGGAGGCUGCAGUAGGGAAUCUUUCACAAUGGGCGAAAGCCUGAUGGAGCAACGCCGCGUGCAGGAUGAAGGCCUUCGGUUUGUAAACUGCUUUUAUAAGCGAGAAAUAUGAUGGUAACUUAUGAAUAAGGAUCGGCUACCUACGUGCCAGCAGCCGCGGUCAUACGUAGGAGCCGAGCAUUAUCCGGGGUGACUGGGUGUAAAGAGUUGCGUAGGUGGCAUAGUAAGUAGCUAGUGAAAUCGGGUGGCUCAACCAUUCAGACUAUUAGCUAAACUGCUAAGCUCGAGACCGUUAGGGGUAACUGGAAUUUCUAGUGUAGGAGUGAAAUCCGUAGAUAUUAGAAGGAACACCGAUAGCGUAGGCAGGUUACUGGGACGGUUCUGACACUAAGGCACGAAAGCGUAGGGAGCAAACGGGAUUAGAUACCCUUGUAGUC
Molecule: ribosomal RNA, 442 nt
Filed under: uncultured bacterium
Lineage: Bacteria
Description: partial 16S ribosomal RNA
Rfam family: Bacterial small subunit ribosomal RNA
Source: RNAcentral